Long non-coding RNA from Tarenaya hassleriana, 602 nucleotides. RefSeq lists it as uncharacterized. Lineage: Eukaryota; Viridiplantae; Streptophyta; Magnoliopsida; Brassicales; Cleomaceae. The transcript has 4 exons. The record is from RefSeq and is a predicted model, not a curated record.
CUCUCCCCCCGCCCGACUUUUGCAGUUCCGCCGGCCCAUCUUCUCCCUGCAACAGCUGCACCACCUGUACCCAUAACAUGCCACAGGUUGUUUCUUGGAAUGAUCAUCUGAAAACAAACCAAGAAAAGAAGCUUCCUUUGUCUGGACAUCCAUCCAGUUGAGUUCCUAGUAGUGAAUGGGAACGGUGAAAACACAAAGUGUCGGUGCUUUUGGAAAGGACAAGAAGACGGGUCUGGAGAUAUUGUUGUUGAAAUUGAACUUCCUGGCCACAUAUUGCAGAUUCUAUUGCUGACGCUCUUGUGGUCCAUAAUAGCACAUUCAGGUCAAUGGGAUAAAAUGUAAAGAUCGGAAAGAGAGAAGAUACCCGGGUCAUGUUUGGACGCAUUGUGGCUAUAUGAUGUAUGCAUAUUGACGCCGUUAACAUCACCCGUUUCAUCUCCAUGGAGUCAAAGUUAUCUCCUAGCCGAGUAUCCACUAUUUCCCUCACACUGUUCUUCUCCAGAAGAGGGAGAGAAUUCAGAUCAUACCCAUAUCACGAGGCUUUGCCUGCUUGCUGUAUCGACAGCACGCCGACCAGUUAUGAUCUCCAGAAGCAGCACCCC